GGAUUGAUGAUGACUCCCACUCACAACAGCAUUCCUUGGAUAAGCUGAACAAAAUGAGUGCCUCGCCUCGCCUUGCCUCGCCUUGCCCUGCCC
Molecule: small nucleolar RNA, 93 nt
Organism: Erinaceus europaeus (western European hedgehog)
Lineage: Eukaryota; Metazoa; Chordata; Mammalia; Eulipotyphla; Erinaceidae
Gene: SNORD116
Rfam family: Small nucleolar RNA SNORD116
About the family: HBII-85 is a member of the C/D class of snoRNAs, which contain the C (UGAUGA) and D (CUGA) box motifs. HBII-85 is encoded in a tandemly repeated array with another C/D snoRNA, HBII-52, in the Prader-Willi syndrome (PWS) region of chromosome 15.
Source: Ensembl